CUUUGCAUAUUCAAAUAUGCGGAGGAAUAGAAACCAACAGGGAUUGCCCCAGUAACGGCGAGUGAAGCGGCAACAGCUCAAAUUUGAAAUCUGGCUUCCUGGAGGCCCGAGUUGUAAUUUGCAGAGGAUGCUUCGGCGUUGGCCUCGGUCUAAGUCCCUUGGAACAGGGCGUCACAGAGCGUGAGAAUCCCGUACGUGGCUGGUGGACCUCGCCGUGUGAAGCUCCUUCGACGAGUCGAGUUGUUUGGGAAUGCAGCUCUAAAUGGGAGGUAAAUUUCUUCUAAAGCUAAAUACCGGCCAGAGACCGAUAGCGCACAAGUAGAGUGAUCGAAAGAUGAAAAGCACUUUGGAAAGAGAGUCAAAAAGUACGUGAAAUUGUUGAAAGGGAAGCGCUCGCAACCAGACCCGCCCGCGGUCGCUCAUCCAGGCCCUGCCUGGUGCACUCUUCCGCGGUCGGGCCAGCAUCGGUUUGGGCGGUCGGACAAAGGCGGCGGGAAUGUGGCUCCCCUUGGGGAGUGUUAUAGCCCGCCGCGCAAUGCGGCCAGCCCGGACCGAGGUCCGCGCUCCGGCUAGGAUGCUGGCGUAAUGGUUGUGAGCGGCCCGUCUUGAAACACGGACCAAGGAGUGUAACAUCUAUGUGAGUGUGUGGGUGUCAAGCCCGGGCGCGCAAUGAAAGUGAACGGAGGCGGGAACUUGUUAUCAAGUGCACCGUCGACCGAUCCUGAUGUCUUCGGAUGGAUUUGAGUAAGAGCAUAGCUGUUGCGACCCGAAAGAUGGUGAUCUAUGCCUGAAUAGGGUGAAGCCAGAGGAAACUCUGGUGGAGGCUCGCAGCGGUUCUGACGUGCAAAUCGAUCGUCAAAUUUGGGCAUAGGGGCGAAAGACUAAUCGAACAUCAGGU
This 898-nucleotide ribosomal RNA is filed under the name Ericboehmia saulensis. RNAcentral's name for it is "Hysteriaceae sp. CL-2019 partial large subunit ribosomal RNA". It matches the Rfam family "Eukaryotic large subunit ribosomal RNA", at positions 34 to 948 of the family's 3401-position model. The record is from RNAcentral. Lineage: Eukaryota; Fungi; Ascomycota; Dothideomycetes; Hysteriales; Hysteriaceae.